RNAcentral lists this ribosomal RNA (259 nucleotides) under uncultured prokaryote. RNAcentral describes it as "partial 16S ribosomal RNA". It matches the Rfam family "Bacterial small subunit ribosomal RNA", at positions 524 to 782 of the family's 1533-position model. The record is from RNAcentral.
UACGUAGGUGGCAAGCGUUAUCCGGAAUUAUUGGGCGUAAAGAGCGCGCAGGUGGUUGAUUAAGUCUGAUGUGAAAGCCCACGGCUUAACCGUGGAGGGUCAUUGGAAACUGGUCGACUUGAGUGCAGAAGAGGGAAGUGGAAUUCCAUGUGUAGCGGUGAAAUGCGUAGAGAUAUGGAGGAACACCAGUGGCGAAGGCGGCUUCCUGGUCUGUAACUGACACUGAGGAGCGAAAGCAUGAGUAGCGAACAGGAUUAGA